Molecule: ribosomal RNA, 403 nt
Filed under: bacterium
Lineage: Bacteria
Description: partial 16S ribosomal RNA
Rfam family: Bacterial small subunit ribosomal RNA
Source: RNAcentral
UGGGGAAUAUUGCACAAUGGGGGAAACCCUGAUGCAGCGACGCCGCCUGAACGAAGAAGGUAUUCGUAUCGUAAAGUUCUGUCCUAUGGGAAGAUAAUGACAGUACCAUAGAAGAAAGCUCCGGCUAAAUACGUGCCAGCAGCCGCGGUAAUACGUAUGGAGCGAGCGUUGUCCGGAAUUAUUGGGCGUAAAGGGUACGCAGGCGGUUUAAUAAGUCGAAUGUUAAAGAUCGGGGCUCAACCCCGCAAAGCAUUGGAAACUGAUAAACUUGAGUAGUGGAGAGGAAAGUGGAAUUCCUAGUGUAGUGGUGAAAUACGUAGAUAUUAGCAGGAAUACCAGUAGCGAAGGCGACUUUCUGGACACAAACUGACGCUGAGGUACGAAAGCGUGGGGAGCAAACAGG